GAGCGCGCAGGGGUGCUUGGGGAGAACAAGACUAGUGUUAGCAGCGUCCUUCGCCUCGUUCUCCCCAAGCACCCCUGCGCGUUC
Paramuricea clavata is the source of this 84-nucleotide non-coding RNA. Lineage: Eukaryota; Metazoa; Cnidaria; Anthozoa; Malacalcyonacea; Plexauridae. The record is from the annotation of a GenBank genome assembly.